RNAcentral lists this transfer RNA (538 nucleotides) under uncultured cyanobacterium. RNAcentral describes it as "partial 16S-23S ribosomal RNA intergenic spacer". The stretch from base 209 to 281 matches the Rfam family "tRNA". Lineage: Bacteria; Bacillati; Cyanobacteriota. The record is from RNAcentral.
CAGGGAGACAACAAAAUGUUUAAUAUUAUUUUGUCACCUUAGGUCGAUCGGUAUCUCACGUUUUUAAUUUAUUAAAAAUUUCAUUUCCUAAGUUUUUCUAGGUCACACCCAUUAUUUUUCCUGGGCCAUUAGCUCAGGUGGUUAGAGCGCACCCCUGAUAAGGGUGAGGUCCCUGGUUCAAGUCCAGGAUGGCCCAUAUCUCUAUGUUGGGGGUAUAGCUCAGUUGGUAGAGCGCCUGCUUUGCAAGCAGGAUGUCAGCGGUUCGAGUCCGCUUACCUCCACUGAUUACCACCUCUUCCAUAACAGGUAAAAAGGAAAUGUUUUGAGUAGUGAUCAAAUUCUGAAAGAAUCUAGCUUCCUAAUGAAAUCAUUAAGAUGCUGGACUCAUUGAAUUAAUUUCAUUGUUUUCAGAGAACCUUGACAACUGCAUAGAUUAUUUUUAAAGACAAUAAGCAUCUUUAAUGAUGCAGAUUUAUUAUUUGUGCGAAUGCAUUAAUAACAAUUCUAUUAAGCUGAUGCUUCAAUUUUUGAAGUUAUU